This 351-nucleotide ribosomal RNA is filed under the name uncultured cyanobacterium. Its description in RNAcentral is "bacterial SSU rRNA". It matches the Rfam family "Bacterial small subunit ribosomal RNA", at positions 67 to 439 of the family's 1533-position model. The record is from RNAcentral. Lineage: Bacteria; Bacillati; Cyanobacteriota.
CGGAAUCCUUUCGAGGAUUUAGUGGCGGACGGGUGAGUAACGCGUGAGAAUCUGCCUUUAGGACGGGAACAACAACUGGAAACGGUUGCUAAAGCCCGAUGUGCCCUUCGGGGUGAAAAUAUUUAUAGCCUGAAGAUGAGCUCGCGUCAGAUUAGCUAGUUGGUUGGGUAAUGGCCGACCAAAGCGACGAUCUGUAACUGGUCUGAGAGGAUGGCCAGUCACACUGGGACUGAGACACGGCCCAGACUCCUACGGGAGGCAGCAGUGGGGAAUUUUCCGCAAUGGGCGAAAGCCUGAACGGAGCAAUACCGCGUGAGGGAGGAAGGCUCUUGGGUCGUAAACCUCUUUUAU